GCUGGGACCAGUUGGGGACCCGUCAUGGGCAAAAGAUACAUGUUUUGUCCACCGUUGCAGUCUUCCUAGAGUAAAGUGGAGGUCUCUGUCUGCUUUAGAAGAGCCAACUAAACCAGAUCGUUCCCCUCCAUACAUG
Non-coding RNA from Tyto alba (common barn owl), 136 nucleotides. Lineage: Eukaryota; Metazoa; Chordata; Aves; Strigiformes; Tytonidae. The record is from Rfam.